AGACUCUGUGCGCGUGCAUAUCAAUAAGCGGAGGAAAAGAAACUAACAAGGAUUCCCUUAGUAACGGCGAGUGAAGCGGGAAGAGCUCAAAUUUGAAAUCUUCAAGGUUCUACCUUGACGAAUUGUAGUUUAUAGAAGUGUUUUCUGUUAGUGGAGUGGCAAAAGUUCUUUGGAAUAGGACAUCAUAGAGGGUGAGAAUCCCGUAUUUGGUCAUUCCUCCUAGCGUUGUGAUACACUUUCAACGAGUCGGAUUGUUUGGGAAUGCAGUCCAAAAUGGGUGGUAAAUUUCAUCUAAAGCUAAAUAUUGGCGAGAGACCGAUAGCGAACAAGUACCGUGAGGGAAAGAUGAAAAGAACUUUGAAAAGAGAGUUAAACAGUACGUGAAAUUGUCAAAAGGGAAGCGUUUGACACCAGUGUUGUUUUUCCGAAAAUCAAUUACGAAUGUUUUGUUUUUGAGGAGUUAUGACUUCAUCGGCUUGCUCCUUUCUUUAUGAAACUUUCUGAAUGCACUUUUCAGUUAACAAGUCAACAUCAAUUUCUUUUGUUGUAAAAGGGUAAGAGGAAGGUGGCUUACGCUUCGGCGUAAGUGUUUAUAGCCUUUUACCUCUGCAAUCGGAGAGAUUGAGGACAGCAGCGUAGACUCUUCGGGGUUAGAUACACUUGUGCUAAGCUAUAGCCUUGUAUAGACAACUUGUUGACUAUGCUCAGUCAUGUAGCUUACUCGCUUGUGCUAUUUUACCUACGCUUAGGAUGUUGACAGCAGUAUAGACUGU
Molecule: ribosomal RNA, 773 nt
Filed under: uncultured Neocallimastigales
Lineage: Eukaryota; Fungi; Neocallimastigomycota; Neocallimastigomycetes; Neocallimastigales
Description: partial large subunit ribosomal RNA
Rfam family: Eukaryotic large subunit ribosomal RNA
Source: RNAcentral